RNAcentral lists this transfer RNA (133 nucleotides) under Anisakis simplex (herring worm). It matches the Rfam family "tRNA". From Rfam's summary of the family: Transfer RNA (tRNA) molecules are approximately 80 nucleotides in length. Their secondary structure includes four short double-helical elements and three loops (D, anti-codon, and T loops). Further hydrogen bonds mediate the characteristic L-shaped molecular structure. tRNAs have two regions of fundamental functional importance: the anti-codon, which is responsible for specific mRNA codon recognition, and the 3' end, to which the tRNAs corresponding amino acid is attached (by aminoacyl-tRNA synthetases). tRNAs cope with the degeneracy of the genetic code in two manners: having more than one tRNA (with a specific anti-codon) for a particular amino acid; and 'wobble' base-pairing, i.e. permitting non-standard base-pairing at the 3rd anti-codon position. Lineage: Eukaryota; Metazoa; Nematoda; Chromadorea; Rhabditida; Anisakidae. The record is from Rfam by way of RNAcentral.
GAUCAGGUGGCCGAGUGGUUAAGGCGAUGGACUGCUAAUCCAUUGGGGUUUCCCCGCGUGAGUUCCGGUUAAGGCGAUGGACUGCUUGAUCCAUUGGGGUUUCCCCGCGUGAGUUCGAAUCUCAUCCUGAUCG